GGUGGUAGCUCAGUGGUAAAGCACUUGCUUUACAUGUGUGAGGCCCUGGGUUCAACACUCAGCACCA
Molecule: transfer RNA, 67 nt
Filed under: Marmota monax (woodchuck)
Lineage: Eukaryota; Metazoa; Chordata; Mammalia; Rodentia; Sciuridae
Description: tRNA.Val
Rfam family: tRNA
About the family: Transfer RNA (tRNA) molecules are approximately 80 nucleotides in length. Their secondary structure includes four short double-helical elements and three loops (D, anti-codon, and T loops). Further hydrogen bonds mediate the characteristic L-shaped molecular structure. tRNAs have two regions of fundamental functional importance: the anti-codon, which is responsible for specific mRNA codon recognition, and the 3' end, to which the tRNAs corresponding amino acid is attached (by aminoacyl-tRNA synthetases). tRNAs cope with the degeneracy of the genetic code in two manners: having more than one tRNA (with a specific anti-codon) for a particular amino acid; and 'wobble' base-pairing, i.e. permitting non-standard base-pairing at the 3rd anti-codon position.
Source: RNAcentral